RNAcentral lists this unclassified non-coding RNA (346 nucleotides) under soil metagenome. RNAcentral's name for it is "partial contains 5.8S ribosomal RNA, internal transcribed spacer 2, and large subunit ribosomal RNA". The stretch from base 1 to 120 matches the Rfam family "5.8S ribosomal RNA", at positions 35 to 154 of the family's 154-position model. The record is from RNAcentral.
GAUGAAGAACGUAGCGAAAUGCGAUACGUAAUGUGAAUUGCAGAAUUCAGUGAAUCAUCGAGUCUUUGAACGCACAUUGCGCCCCCUGGUAUUCCGGGGGGCAUGCCUGUCCGAGCGUCAUUGCUGCCCUCAAGCCCGGCUUGUGUGUUGGGUCUCGUCCCCCUUCCCGGGGGGACGGGCCCGAAAGGCAGCGGCGGCACCGCGUCCGGUCCUCGAGCGUAUGGGGCUUUGUCACCCGCUCUGUAGGCCCGGCCGGCGCUUGCCGAUCAACCAAAACUUUUUUCCAGGUUGACCUCGGAUCAGGUAGGGAUACCCGCUGAACUUAAGAAUAUCAAUAAGCGGAGGA